ACCGUUAUCGUGAGGUAAUACUGAACAUACAGAAGUAAGCAGAGGCCGUAGUAGCUGAGAUUUUCAGUGAAGGGC
This 75-nucleotide non-coding RNA is filed under the name uncultured Eisenbergiella sp. Lineage: Bacteria; Bacillati; Bacillota; Clostridia; Lachnospirales; Lachnospiraceae. The record is from RNAcentral.